UGGCGGAUGCCUUGGCUCUCGGAGGCGAUGAAGGACGUGAUAAGCUGCGAUAAGUCACGGGGAGGUGCAAAUAACCUUUGAUCCGUGAAUCUCCGAAUGGGACAACCCGAUAUCCUGAAGGGAUAUCACCUCAUCUAAUUGAGGAGCUAACGCAGGGAACUGAAACAUCUUAGUACCUGCAGGAAAAGAAAAUAACAAUGAUUCCCCCAGUAGUGGCGAGCGAACGGGGAAUAGCCCAAACCAUUCAUGUUACGGCAUGGAUGGGGUUGUAGGACCACGGCGUUGCAAGAACUCUUGUGAGAAGAACAGCCUGGAAAGACUGACCACAGACGGUGACAGUCCGGUAUUCGAAGCAAGACGAAGCAUAGUGGUAUCCUGAGUAGCGCGGAACACGAGGAAUUCUGCGUGAAUCUGCCGGGACCAUCCGGUAAGGCUAAAUACUCCCGAGAGACCGAUAGUGGACCAGUACCGUGAGGGAAAGGUGAAAAGCACUUCGAACAGAAGAGUGAAACAGUACCUGAAACCGUGCGCCUACAAGCGGUCGGAGCACGAAAGUGUGACGGCGUGCCUUUUGCAUAAUGAACCUACGAGUUACCGUAUCUGGCAAGGUUAAGGGUCACGAGACCUGCAGCCGAAGCGAAAGCGAGUCUGAAGAGGGCGUCGAGUCAGUUGCGGUAGACGCGAAACCAAGUGAUCUACCCUUGGCCAGGAUGAAGUCUGGGUAACACCAGAUGGAGGUCCGCACCAAUAAGCGUUGAAAAGCUUCUGGAUGAGCUGAGGGUAGGGGUGAAAGGCUAAUCAAACUUGGAGAUAGCUCGUACUCCCCGAAAUGCAUUUAGGUGCAGCCUCGCGGGUUACUGAUGUGAGGUAGAGCGACUGAUUGGAUGCGAGGGCUUCACCGCCUAUCAAGUCCUGACAAACUCCGAAUGCGCAUCAGUUUUACCGCGGGAGUGAGGGCAUGGGUGCUAAGGUCCGUGCCCGAGAGGAGAAGAAUCCGGACUAUCAGCUAAGGCCCCGAAAUGACAGCUAAGUUAAACUAACGAAGUCUGAUUGCUAAGACAGCUAGGAUGUUGGCUUGGAAGCAGCCAUUCAUUUAAAGAGUGCGUAACAGCUCACUAGUCGAGGAAUCGGGCGUGGAUAAUAAUCGGGUAUGAAGUUGUCUGCCGAAGCUAUAGAAUCAGCAAUGAUUGGUAGGGGAGCAUUCCAUUCGGCGUUGAAGGCGUGGCGUGAGCCAUUCUGGAGCGUAUGGAAAAGCAAAUGUAGGUAUAAGUAACGAUAAAGGGGGUGGGAAACCCCCUCGCCGAAAGACUAAGGUUUCCUGAUCAACGCUAAUCGGAUCAGGGUAAGUCGGGUCCUAAGGUUCAGCCGAACGGCGAGACCGAUGGCAGAAACGGUUAAUAUUCCGUUACUACCUUUGAGGGUGACGUGGGGACGCAGGAGUGACACCGCCGCCGGCUGACGGAAUAGCCGGUUAAAGAGUGUAGACGCCGAUUUCCGCAGGCAAAUCCACGGAAAGAGUCGAACUUGACAGUAUGGAACGUCCUUCGGGACAAUCCAAUAGUGCGGGUAAGCAGACUGCCGAGAAAAUCCGCUAAACAUAACUUCAGAGGUACCCGUACCGCAAACGGACACACGUAGUCGGGUUGAAUAUACUAAGGCGCUUGAGUGAUUCACGGUUAAGGAACUAGGCAAACUGACCCUGUAACUUCGGGAUAAAGGGUCCCUACCCGGAAACGGGAGGGCGCAGAGAAUAGGUCCAGGCAACUGUUUAACAAAAACACAGGGCUGUGCCAAUAUGAAAGUAGACGUAUACAGCCUGACACCUGCCCGGUGCUGGAAGGUUAAGAGGAGAUGUCAUCGCAAGAGAAGCAUUGAAUUGAAGCCCCAGUAAACGGCGGCCGUAACAAUAACGGUCCUAAGGUAGCGAAAUUCCUUGUCGGGUAAGUUCCGACCUGCACGAA
This 1961-nucleotide ribosomal RNA is filed under the name human gut metagenome. RNAcentral's name for it is "bacterial LSU rRNA". It matches the Rfam family "Bacterial large subunit ribosomal RNA", at positions 22 to 1996 of the family's 2925-position model. The record is from RNAcentral.